AUUGAACGCUGGCGGAAUGCUUUACACAUGCAAGUCGAACGGCAGCACGGACUUCGGUCUGGUGGCGAGUGGCGAACGGGUGAGUAAUGUAUCGGAACGUGCCCAGUCGUGGGGGAUAACGUAGUGAAAAUUACGCUAAUACCGCAUACGAUCUAUGGAUGAAAGCGGGGGAUCGCAAGACCCCGCGCGAUUGGAGCGGCCGAUAUCCGAUUAGGUAGUUGGUGGGGUAAAGGCCCACCAAGCCAACGAACUGUAGCUGGUCUGAGAGGACGACCAGCCACACUGGAACUGAAACACGGUCCAGACUCCUACGGGAGGCAGGAGUGGGGAAUUUUGGACAAUGGGCGAAAGCCUGGUACAGCCAUUCCGCGUGCAGGAUGAAGGCCCUCGGGUUGUAAACUGCUUUUGUACAGAACGAAAAGGUUUCUACUAAUACUAGGAGCUCAUGACGGUACUGUAAGAAUAAGCACCGGCUAACUACGUGCCAGCAGCCGCGGUAA
This 500-nucleotide ribosomal RNA is filed under the name uncultured bacterium. RNAcentral's name for it is "partial 16S ribosomal RNA". It matches the Rfam family "Bacterial small subunit ribosomal RNA", at positions 30 to 523 of the family's 1533-position model. The record is from RNAcentral.